Molecule: ribosomal RNA, 468 nt
Filed under: uncultured bacterium
Lineage: Bacteria
Description: partial 16S ribosomal RNA
Rfam family: Bacterial small subunit ribosomal RNA
Source: RNAcentral
GACGAACGCUGGCGGCGUGCUUAACACAUGCGAGUCGAACGGAAAGGCCCUGCUUUUGUGGGGUGCUCGAGUGGCGAACGGGUGAGUAACACGUGAGUAACCUGCCCUUGACUUUGGGAUAACUUCAGGAAACUGGGGCUAAUACCGGAUAGGAGCUCCUGCUGCAUGGUGGGGGUUGGAAAGUUUCGGCGGUUGGGGAUGGACUCGCGGCUUAUCAGCUUGUUGGUGGGGUAGUGGCUUACCAAGGCUUUGACGGGUAGCCGGCCUGAGAGGGUGACCGGCCACAUUGGGACUGAGAUACGGCCCAGACUCCUACGGGAGGCAGCAGUGGGGAAUAUUGCACAAUGGGCGGAAGCCUGAUGCAGCAACGCCGCGUGCGGGAUGACGGCCUUCGGGUUGUAAACCGCUUUCGCCUGUGACGAAGCGUGAGUGACGGUAAUGGGUAAAGAAGCACCGGCUAACUACCUG